GGAACAUUGAAUGAGCAAGCUCCGCCCAGCAGUCACGUUCGGGAGAUUCAAACUGAGACUGCUCCACCUUUAGCCAGUGCAGACUCCCGUCUCUGCGCUGCGUCUCAUUAAGAUGUGGCUUGUGAGACAAGAGUCAGCUGAAAGGAACCGCGAGACGACGGGCAUAAAUCACAUUUGCCUUCUGUGAUUUAAAGUGGCGAGCGAGCAGAACACCACAGGUGAGGACCAGUGGAGGGGAGGUCCAACACCAGGAUGGCGUCGUCCUUCAUCCCACGCAAGAAGACGAAAGCGAGACCAGGGAAAUGAAUGCUGCCUACAUGGUGGAUCAACGUGGAGUCUGCAGCACAAUCCCGUUUGAAAAAUAGUUCAUCCAAAUAUACACUGGAUCCUCGAAAUUUGCUGACUUUUUUUUUUGUUUUUCUGCUAAAGUAAUACAUUUUUCCCACAUCUCAAUCACCAUCCUGUAAUUUGGUAAUAAUUUAUGAAGAUGUGAUAAUACAGCUAAUGUACUGCAUA
Long non-coding RNA from Dunckerocampus dactyliophorus (ringed pipefish), 516 nucleotides. RefSeq lists it as uncharacterized. NCBI's taxonomy places the organism in Eukaryota, Metazoa, Chordata, Actinopteri, Syngnathiformes, Syngnathidae. The transcript is spliced from 4 exons. The record is from RefSeq and is a predicted model, not a curated record.